UCUUUUCCAGACAACCUCACUAAGCUAAGAGAAAAAACCUCGCAGCCCUCUUCAUCGCUGAGAACAACCAGUCCUCUCUCGCGGCCCUCUGGCACAACCCUCGCGGCCCGCUCUCGCAACCAUCCAUCGACGCUGCCUCUGUCGGCGCUCCUCCAUUGGUGCGCCCUCCGUCGGUGCCACUCUCGCUCGCAAGGCCUCCCUCGGCGGUCUCUCUCUCUCGCUCCUCCCUCAAUCGUUGCUCCACCCUCAAACGACGCUCAACCCUCACCAUAACACAAGAAGGCAAACAGGUCUAGGAUGGGGCUAUGUCAACCCAAUGUGGAUACAGAUUCAAGUCCUGAGAAUGUAAAGAUGCUGAUUGGGUUGGCGAAUGAGAUGUUGAAGCAGGAGAAUGUAGAGUCAGUGCUGUUUGGAGGGAAGCGGAUCGGCGAGCAAAGUAAUUUCGAGAAACUCGACUGGUUCGUUGGAGAACUCGUCCAAGAUAAUCAGAGGAGGAGCUGUAGAAUAGCUCCCACUGUUGCUUUCAAGCAAGCUAGCCCAAAAGCGACCUCAUUCAUGGACCAACACUUACAAGAAUCAACAUAAAGAAAAACUAAUGAAAGAGAAAAAAAAAAAGUGGCUAAUGACUUUGGUCAACUGGGUGAUGGAACUGAGGAGCGAAGGAAAUAUCCAAAGAAAGUGAAGAAAUUAGAGUCAGAGUUCAUGAAAUUUGUGUCCUGCGAAGCACAUUGUUCUGCUUGCAUUGUAGAGCCUCGUGAAAAUGAUGGUACCAUUUCAACUGGGAGGCUCUGGAUUUGGGGACAAAAUCAGAUUAUUCGUGAAGUGUCUUGUGGAGCUGUUCAUGUGGUUGCUUUAUUCGAGGAAGGCCUACUAUAAGUUUGGGUGAUUCAAUAUCACAUUUCUUAAUUUUCUUCUUAAAAUUUCAUUUUUGUUUAUGUUUGUAAAUUUCAUGUAGGUGGUCGUUGCAUGUAUAGAGAUGACAUGGUUGUAAGCUUUUACCAAGAAUGU
Arachis duranensis is the source of this 1008-nucleotide long non-coding RNA. RefSeq lists it as uncharacterized. The record is from RefSeq and is a predicted model, not a curated record. The transcript is spliced from 4 exons. Lineage: Eukaryota; Viridiplantae; Streptophyta; Magnoliopsida; Fabales; Fabaceae.